RNAcentral lists this ribosomal RNA (98 nucleotides) under Anaerococcus prevotii. Its description in RNAcentral is "partial 16S ribosomal RNA". It matches the Rfam family "Bacterial small subunit ribosomal RNA", at positions 1 to 99 of the family's 1533-position model. The record is from RNAcentral. Lineage: Bacteria; Bacillati; Bacillota; Tissierellia; Tissierellales; Peptoniphilaceae.
AUUUAUGAGAGUUUGAUCCUGGCUCAGGAUAAACGCUGGCGGCGUGCAUAACACAUGCAAGUCGAACGAUGAAACUUAACUGAUUUCUUCGGAAUGAU